This 445-nucleotide ribosomal RNA is filed under the name uncultured Alkalibacter sp. RNAcentral's name for it is "bacterial SSU rRNA". It matches the Rfam family "Bacterial small subunit ribosomal RNA", at positions 336 to 795 of the family's 1533-position model. Lineage: Bacteria; Bacillati; Bacillota; Clostridia; Eubacteriales; Eubacteriaceae. The record is from RNAcentral.
UUCCUACGGGUGGCAGCAGUGGGGAAUAUUGCGCAAUGGGGGCAACCCUGACGCAGCAACGCCGCGUGAAUGAAGAAGGUCUUCGGAUCGUAAAGUUCUGUCGAAGGGGAAGAAAUAAAUGACGGUACCCUUAGAGGAAGCCCCGGCUAACUACGUGCCAGCAGCCGCGGUAAUACGUAGGGGGCAAGCGUUGUCCGGAUUUACUGGGCGUAAAGGGCGUGUAGGCGGUUUUUUAAGUCAGAUGUGAAAGUUCGGGGCUCAACCCCGGAAUUGCAUUUGAAACUGGAGAACUUGAGUACUGGAGAGGUAAGUGGAAUUCCUAGUGUAGCGGUGAAAUGCGUAGAUAUUAGGAGGAACACCAGUGGCGAAGGCGACUUACUGGACAGAUACUGACGCUGAGGCGCGAAAGCGUGGGGAGCGAACAGGAUUAGAUACCCUAGUAGUC